Molecule: ribosomal RNA, 301 nt
Filed under: uncultured bacterium
Lineage: Bacteria
Description: partial 16S ribosomal RNA
Rfam family: Bacterial small subunit ribosomal RNA
Source: RNAcentral
CAGCAGCCGCGGGAAAACGGAGGGUGCAAGCGUUAUCCGGAUUUAUUGGGUUUAAAGGGUCCGUAGGCGGAUCUGUAAGUCAGUGGUGAAAUCUCACAGCUUAACUGUGAAACUGCCAUUGAUACUGCAGGUCUUGAGUAAAUUUGAAGUGGCUGGAAUAAGUAGUGUAGCGGUGAAAUGCAUAGAUAUUACUUAGAACACCAAUUGCGAAGGCAGGUCACUAAGAUUUAACUGACGCUGAUGGACGAAAGCGUGGGGAGCGAACAGGAUUAGAUACCCGAGUAGUCCCUGUCUCUUAUAA